AUGUAUGCUAUAAAAUGUAAUGAUAACCAUGAAACUUUUCAUCAUGAUUUUAAUGUUCAAUUGGGUUUGCUUCAGAACAAAACCCUGCAAUCAAAUAGAUUGUUCCAAGGGCGCCAUAUUCUAGGAGCCCAAGUUAUGCUAUUAAAAAUUCAUUCCUCUAGCAAUUCCAGUUUUAGCAUUUUGUUCCCUUUUUCAAACUCCACUUCUUUUCAUAUAGCAUCCUUGAUCAAAGAGAGAAUAAUAUCCAUUUCAAAAUAUUUCUAACAGAUUCCUUACUUCGGACCGAUGAUCAAUCAAGUUUCAUAUGGUAGUUAUUUUGUCGAGUUUGCUCCCACUAUUAUGCAUGGGAAGAAAUUCUCUUAUGUGGAGAGUAAUAAAAUUUCUAUGUUUAUGGAUCAUGAAACGAAUGCUUUAUGUGAUAGUUAUAUUGUUGAAUUCAUUCAUGGUGCUACUAAAAAUUAUUAUGAGAGAGGUGAAGGAAAUAUGCCCUAG
This 492-nucleotide ribosomal RNA is filed under the name Triticum aestivum (bread wheat). RNAcentral's name for it is "partial small subunit ribosomal RNA". The record is from RNAcentral. Lineage: Eukaryota; Viridiplantae; Streptophyta; Magnoliopsida; Poales; Poaceae.